RNAcentral lists this unclassified non-coding RNA (3307 nucleotides) under Polistes dominula (European paper wasp). Its description in RNAcentral is "uncharacterized LOC107065231, transcript variant X3". The record is from RNAcentral. Lineage: Eukaryota; Metazoa; Arthropoda; Insecta; Hymenoptera; Vespidae.
CUGACGCUAUAUAUUUAUAAUAUUAUCAAUGUUCAUUUUAAAAAGUGACAAUAAUAUAAAAAAAUACUUUCCUUCAUAUGCAAGUGGGAUAGUGCAUCAAGAAUUCAAUGGUAUAGUGUAUGCAUCUUUACUAGAAUAUAUAAUUUAGUGUCUAUAAUUUGUGUUAUUUGCCUGCCUUGGAUUUCAUAGGAUUUAGUUUUGAUAGUAACCUUAAUCUGUGCAGUGAUUAAUUAUAACCAUUCAUUUAGUGUUUUUCAAUUAAUUAAUUUGUUCAUUUAAUGAUAAAUUAAUUAACAAGUGAUUUAAAAUGACUUGAAAUAUUAAUAAUGAACAGUAACUGUUUAAGGUGUCUACGUGUAUUUAGGUUAUGUUAACAGUAAGACUGCAAUAAGUAGUAGUCUUGCUGAUGUAGGUUUAAAGAUAUAUUUAGGAGGAAGUUUAUAACAUGACAGAAACUGAAGUCGAAGGAAGUACCUGGUGUUACUGGGUUCUCUCUGUUGGAACUCUAUUUACAUUUCUUGGCUUGGUCGUUGCUUGCAUCUGCAGUUGUCGAAGAAAUCAAACUAAGAACGAUUUACCUGGGUUAUGUGGAAUGGUAACGAUCAAUCAUUCUGAUAAUGAUAAUUUCAAUACCCUACCAUCUCUAGAAGUUAGUCAAGUCCCACCAUCACAGGAUACGAUAGAUAAUGGCAAAAGAAUAAGUGGAGCUAAUAGAAGCUUACCAGAUAUACCAAAAGAUAAAAAUAGAGGAGAAGUUAAUGCAGAAUCUAUACCUCAAGAUAUUUAUGAAACUAGUGAAGUAAAUUCUGAACUGUAUGCUACAGUGCAGGAUACAGAAGAGCCACAGUCUGAAAGAGAAACACAGAGCCUUUCUCAACAAGUUUCAAUAGUUCAAGAUAAUUCAACAUUUCAACUUUCAAGAUUCACACCAUCUACAUCUAAAAAUGAUGAACAUCCGUAUGCUCAACUGCAAAGUAUACCAAAAUCUGAAAUUGAUCAAUCGCAUAGAAAAAACAGUACUCAAACGAUUAUUGUUGAUAAACCAUCAACAUCAUCAAAUCAUACAAAUGGAAAUCCAGUAGCACCACCUAGAACUCGAAAAUCAUCGUCUUUCAAUUCACUUCUGAGUGCUGAGAAUCCUAAUGAUAUACAAGCUGCAAAUGCUAUUUCUGGAGGUGUGCAAGCUAAUCAAGAUUUACCUUAUAUGACACCACCUCUCGCUAUGUUACAUCUUCAUCCACCACAACCACCACAACCUAGUACAUCACAACAUUUUAGCGGUGAUUCUCAAGAUUCUAAAGGAUAUACUAGCAUAAGUGUGCGAGAACCUUUAGCUAAUAUAUUAGCACAAACAAAAGCAUCUUAUCAACAACAUCAACCAACACGUUUGCCCAUUGAUCCUCACUAUGCAACUGUAUCCGAUGAUUCAGAUGAAAUGUAUGCAGCUAUUGACGAACAAGAAAAAAUUUAUACUAGUGGCAGUGAAACAUAUGCUCAAAUCCAACCAACAGUAUUGGAAACAAAUAGAAUUAUACACAGUGAACUAAAUCCAUUUAUUCAACCAUCAUCACGUACAGAGGAAACACAUACUGCUCCGCAACCACCAAGUGUUGAUAGUUUACGUCAUGUUGCUCAUGCUCAUUCGAGACAGGCAUCAUCAUCAAGUGCCAAUAGUUCUAUCAUAAACCCAGGUUCUCCAAAACCAGAGAAACGUCAAGCUAAUUCACCAUUACCUCCUCCACCAGAAGCAAUUUCAGAUGCAUAUGCUGCUGUUGAUAAAAGAACGAAAAAUGAUGAACGCAUAAGACCUAAUUUAUCAACUGGAAAAUCUUUAGAAGAUAUGUAUGCUAAAGUCAUGAAAAAGAAAAGAGAUGCAGAAGAGCAAAGUGACGUUCCUGGAUCUUCUAAUAUUUUACAUUCAGAAGUAAUACCUUCAAAUAGAAAACUUAGUCUCAUAGAAAUUAGCAGAGCUUCGUGGUCUAGUCAUGAUUCAGUAGAAAUACAGAAAGAAGAACACGACACUGUUCAUUACACAAUAUCAGCCAAUACUGUUACUAAUGUUCAUCCUGAAAUGGAAAAUAAUUGUUUAAAGUUAUCUCGAAUUCCUGAUGGAGAUACAAAUUUAUUAAAUCAAGAAAUUAAUUAUGGUUACGAAUCUGUGAAUACAAAAAGGAAUUUAGCUGCACGAAGUUUUCCUAUUUGUGAUUCUAAUUAUGAAAUACCACAUCUUCAAUCUUUAAGAAAUAACGAUUAUCAAAGUACAUCAACAUCAGUUCGCGAUGGUUCUGACUUAUUAUUGACAUAUCCUACAUCUUUUAAGCACAGACAAAUCAGUAAUGCAAGUAGUGAAGAUCCAGGGUAUGAAAAAGUUAGAUUACGAAGAAGAAUUGAUUUAGAUCAGGAUACAGAUUCCGAGCCAAACUAUGAGAGUAUGCCUCAUGAUUCAGGAGAACCAAAUUAUGCAUCAGUAUGCCGUCCUGGUGAUAGUGAUACAGAUCCGAAUUAUGAAUCUGUAAGUCAUGGGGAUCCAAAUUAUGAAAGUGUAAGAUACAUGAGUGUUGCUGCAUCGGAAGAACCACCAUACGAACAGACUACGAAAAGAUAAAUCCAAGCAAUGCCUUGGAACAAUGCAGUAAUGGAGAUACAGAUGAUGAACAAUAUGUUCAGCAUGAAGCUUUCGCAGGUGAAGUUACUUGAGUAUACUUUUUUAUUUUGAUGAAAUACAUUCUAUCCAUCUCGGCUUCGAUAAAGCUAUGGACAGCUAAUUUAGUACUAUUUGUAUUUUAGUAUGAAUCCAUAUUUCGCUGAUGUUUAAAUGUGUUAAGAAAAUGUUACAAAAUAAUGAGGGUAAGACUGAUAGAGACAAACAGUGAGAAGUAAUGUACAAGUAAAAUCUGACUUAAUGUUAUGUUUAAUUAUCUUAAUUGGUAGCAUGUUUCAAUGAUAAGGUAAACAAAAAAACUAUAAAGUUACCAAUAAUGAAAAGUCAUUUAUGUGACCGCAUAAAUAAUUGUCUGGCGGAACAUUAUAAUAUACGGAGGAACGUGCUGUUGAUUAAAUAAACAUAGUUGUGAGAAAUUUUCAAAUGAAAAUUAGCAAAUGUCGCAUAAAUAUUAUUAAAUGAAAAAAAUUAUUAUUUCUUCUGUGAAUGGUGCAUGCUGUGCCUUGUUGUAUUGACUACUCUCUAUACAUUUUUAUUUACAUGUCACAAACAACCAGGUCACAAAAAUGUAUCCUAUUCUUUAGUUUAAUUAAUGAAAUAGUACUCUCAUAGCUUCAUAUAAUAAUUUACUGCCACGAGUUGUAA